UUUUAGACCUCAACAUAAAGGAAUACAUUGAGCUCUGGGAAAAUUAACUAAGAAAAAGAAAUAUUGUCCUUUCUUCAAUCCGUAUUGAGGAAAAAACCGACUUGUUACACCUCGUACAUUUGUGUCCUGUUAUAUUCAUGCUUGUCUUUUAAUAUCAAGCAUGGUUGUGUAAUAAUCGUAGAAUUACUGUACAUUUACCACUUCAAAUAGGAAUUUUAAUCUGUUUGUAUACAAAUUUCAUUUAAAAGGUGAAAAUCCUGAAAAGUUACUAGUGGAUGCUUAUUUAAUUUUAAAUAUUUAAAAUUUACAGUAUAGUUUAUAUGUAGCAGUCUAGAUGGAUUCAUUUUUGUCAUUAUUCAGAGCUAAAUCUGAUCUGUAUCUAAAAUCUUCCAACAACUGUUUUGAUUAUCACGUUAAAAUAAAAAAAAAAAAAAAAACAAAAAAAAAAACAGUUGGCAUCGGGGUAUCAAGAGAAGCAUCUUUACCAUUGGAUAAACUAUAUCCCAGGAGUUGAACUAAAAACUGUUUUUUGUUGCUGUUGUUAAAUAACAUUAUUUACUUAUUUUUUUUAAAUUUCAGCUCACACAAAAAGAACUAUAUUCAAAUAGAUUACUUCCUUAAUAUUAGCUACUUGUAUAAGAAUUAGAUAAUCACAUGAAUAUUCAAGUUGAAUCAGGAAGGCAGUCCUCCAAUUAACCUUGUACUGAAUGCAAUUAUAAGGUGAAUAUUCAAAACCAAUGGAGAUAGUCAUUUAUACAUUGCAAGUGUUUUUAUGUCAAGAGUGGAAAAGCAAGGCUCUGAAAGUCUGAUGAUAAUACUUUGAAUAAGCUUUAAUUAAGAAGUAAUUUUUUUUCACAUCGGAACACUUCCUUCCUUGUUCAUACAAUUGAUAAGUUUUUUAGAGGGAUACUGUCUUUCUAACAUAAACUCUGCUGCCUAUACUGUGAACAAAACUGAACUGAUCAGAACUUAAAACUAUUGAUUGGCUGGCACCGCGGCUCACUAGGCUAAUCCUCCACCUGUGGCGCUGGCACCCCGGGGUUCUAGUCCCCAUUGCUCCUCUUCCAGUCCAGCUCUCUGCUGUGGCCCAGAAAGGCAGUGGAGGAAUGCCCAAGUGCUUGGGCCCUGCACCUGCAUGGGAGACUAGGAGGAAGCACCUGGGUCCUGGCUUCAGAUCGGCACAAGGUGCUGCCCAUAGCAGCCACUUAGGGGGUGAACCAACGGAAAAAGGAAGACCUCUCUCUCUCUCUCUCACUAACUAUGCCUGUCAAAAAAAAUAAAUAAAAACUAUUGAUCA
This 1297-nucleotide long non-coding RNA is filed under the name Oryctolagus cuniculus (rabbit). RNAcentral's name for it is "lncRNA (ENSOCUG00000029798.1)". The record is from RNAcentral. Lineage: Eukaryota; Metazoa; Chordata; Mammalia; Lagomorpha; Leporidae.